AUGAACGCUAGCUACAGGCUUAACACAUGCAAGUCGAGGGGAAACGGCAUCGAAAGCUUGCUUUUGAUGGGCGUCGACCGGCGCACGGGUGAGUAACGCGUAUCCAACCUGCCCAUCACUUGGGAAUAACCUUGCGAAAGUAAGACUAAUGCCCAAUGACAUCCCACGAAGGCAUCCGAAUGGGAUUAAAGAUUUAUCGGUGAUGGAUGGGGAUGCGUCUGAUUAGCUUGUUGGCGGGGUGACGGCCCACCAAGGCAACGAUCAGUAGGGGUUCUGAGAGGAAGGUCCCCCACAUUGGAACUGAGACACGGUCCAAACUCCUACGGGAGGCAGCAGUGAGGAAUAUUGGUCAAUGGGCGAGAGCCUGAACCAGCCAAGUAGCGUGCAGGAUGACGGCCCUAUGGGUUGUAAACUGCUUUUAGAAGGGAAUAAAGUGGGUCACGUGUGACUUUUUGCAUGUACCUUAUGAAUAAGGACCGGCUAAUUCCGUG
RNAcentral lists this ribosomal RNA (491 nucleotides) under uncultured bacterium. RNAcentral describes it as "partial 16S ribosomal RNA". It matches the Rfam family "Bacterial small subunit ribosomal RNA", at positions 29 to 507 of the family's 1533-position model. The record is from RNAcentral.